AUUGAACGCUGGCGGCAGGCCUAACACAUGCAAGUCGAACGGUAACAGGAAGAAGCUUGCUUCUUUGCUGACGAGUGGCGGACGGGUGAGUAAUGUCUGGGAAACUGCCUGAUGGAGGGGGAUAACUACUGGAAACGGUAGCUAAUACCGCAUAACGUCGCAAAACCAAAGAGGGGGACCUUCGGGCCUCUUGCCAUCGGAUGUGCCCAGAUGGGAUUAGCUAGUAGGUGGGGUAACGGCUCACCUAGGCGACGAUCCCUAGCUGGUCUGAGAGGAUGACCAGCCACACUGGAACUGAGACACGGUCCAGACUCCUACGGGAGGCAGCAGUGGGGUAUAUUGCACAAUGGGCGCAAGCCUGAUGCAGCCAUGCCGCGUGUAUGAAGAAGGCCUUCGGGUUGUAAAGUACUUUCAGCGGGGAGGAAGGGAGUAAAGUUAAUACCUUUGCUCAUUGACGUUACCCGCAGAAGAAGCACCGGCUAACUCCGUG
This 490-nucleotide ribosomal RNA is filed under the name uncultured bacterium. RNAcentral's name for it is "partial 16S ribosomal RNA". It matches the Rfam family "Bacterial small subunit ribosomal RNA", at positions 30 to 507 of the family's 1533-position model. The record is from RNAcentral.